This 947-nucleotide long non-coding RNA is filed under the name Homo sapiens (human). Its description in RNAcentral is "HSALNT0181545". Lineage: Eukaryota; Metazoa; Chordata; Mammalia; Primates; Hominidae. The record is from RNAcentral.
CUGCUGUCUUAUUCUCAACGCCUAGCACAGGCUCAACAUGUGGUUGGCCCACAAUAAAUGCUUGCAAUGGAAUAAAAUCAUGAUGAACUGUCAACGAGGCUUUGACCUUCUGAUGGGUAAUGUGCCAACAUCAUAACAAGGUUCAAGGGAGGCACAUCUCAUACGAGUGUGAAAAGGCAAUCAUCAUGCUUAUGAACUACAAGAUUAUCCUAUAUAUUCAUUUUCAAUUAUUUUAUCCUCCUCUGCCUCUUGCCCUGGACUAUAUAAGACCUGCAAUAUAAUGUUGAAUAAGGAAGGUGAAAACGAACAUCAUUGCAUCACUCCUGAUAUCAAAGGUGGCAAGUUGAUUUCAAUACCUGAUUGAUUGAUAGCUGUUGCCUAGAAAGAAGGCUGUGUAGAAAAGGAUUUUGAGGUUGCACCUGGGCUCAGUGGGAAAGAAGGCUGCGGUUGAUUGGUGACAAAACUGAGGCUCAGAGGCCAAUGGCCUUGUUCAAGGUCACACGCCCACUAAAUGAGAGACCCGGAGACCUGGCAUCACACGUACCAAAAAUUAAAAGCAAAGAUGCUUAAAUCAACUGCAGUCCUUCUGGGCAGAUGUUCCUAAAUGCAAUCCAUCUAAGAGGAAAGAGUUUUUGAGGGAAGGGUGAUCACUGGGCCUCUACAUGCCACACCCGGAAGGCCCAGCAGUGGGGCAAGGAUAGAACACACAGUUUGGCGAUGUGACCCUGCCUGUCUGCACACCUCAGGAUCCCACCACCCAACAGGCAUACAUCUCCUGGAGCUACAGAGAUGCCAAAUGCCAGAGAAGGGAAGCAGGAAGGGAGAUGAAGACAAGGAACUCUGAAAAAUGGAAGCAGAAACACAGGCUGUAUUUUCCCCUAUCCUUCUUUUCUUUGUUCCCUUUUUUCUCUUUUGAAUGAAAAAUAAAAAUGCAGAAAACCUCAGGA